Non-coding RNA from Camellia sinensis, 4031 nucleotides. Lineage: Eukaryota; Viridiplantae; Streptophyta; Magnoliopsida; Ericales; Theaceae. The record is from RefSeq and is a predicted model, not a curated record.
UGGUGGGUAUAUAUAUAUUUACAACUUGGGUAGAAGAUGAUGGCAAGCUAUAGUUGCAUCUGGCAUUAAACAUAAAGAGUGGCAUUUUGAAACAGAGAGAGAGAGAGAGAGAGAGAGAAGAGGAUCACAUCACAACAAACAAGCUUUCCAUUUUCCAUCAAUGGCUUCAUCAAGCAAUCAUCACUCUUUUCCAAAGUACCCAUACCCAUCAGAGUUUAAAGUGGAAGACUAUGUCCCCAUCAUUCUCUUUGUAGCCAAUUACUUUGAGUGGAAACAACUGAUGCUCGACUUCAUUCAGAGUCGAGGCAUGGUUGGUUUCAUCGAUGGCACACUUGAGGCUCCACCUGAAAAGGUCACCACAUCAGUCGCAGAUGCUGGAGGCGAGAUUGAGAUUGAGAAUGACGAUUACAAAUCCUGGAAAAGAUCAGACGAUCUUGUACGAGGAUGGAUCAUCACCACACUUGACUUAGAUAACCGACUACGCGUGAUUCAAUAUAAGACUGCUAGAGAGGUGUGGACUGCCUUGGAGAAAAUGUGUGAUCCAUCUCAAGCUUUCCACGAACAAGAAGAAGAAAGACAGAAAGUAAACCAUUACCUCCCACUGCACAUAGCUGCAAUCAAAGGUGAUUGGGAGAGCGCCAACAAAUUUAUAGAACAAGAACCAGAUGCAGUCAGGGUUCCCGUCACUGGAUUAAGACAAACAUCACUUGUCGUCGCCAUUAGGUUGGCGCGGAGAAAUGAAUUUGUGAAGAAGUUAAUAGAGAAGAUGUCACCAGAGGAUCUAGCUCUAGUCGACUCCAGAGGCAGGACAGCCCUUCAUGAAGCUUCAAUUACUGGUAAUGUUGAGGCAGCCAAACUAUUAGUGCAGAGGAACACAAUCUUGCCUAAUAUUCUGGACAAGAAGGGACGAGUACCUCUCUAUUAUGCUGCUAAUUUUGGUUUUAGAGAGAUGGUUCUGUACUUAUUGGAUGUCACUAGAUCUUUGGAUGUCAACACAGAACAUUUGGAGCCAAAGCCUUUGGGUGUCAACAAAGAAAAUCUGGAGCCAAAACCAUUUGAAGACAGAUCAGGUGUUACACUUUUGUAUCGGUUGGCAACUAGUGGACUUUAUGAUAUUGCUCUAAGCGUGCUUUCCCGCUACCCUAAGUUGGCAUAUUUGGAACCAUCUCCUCUGAUAAUGAUUUCUAAAAAGCCUUCUUCAUUUCGAAGUGGAACCCCCUUAAAUUCCUGGCAGAAUUUAAUCUAUUCAGGUGUUCCCAUAAAAUUGGAAACCAUUGCAGACCACCAUAGCCAAAGAGACAUUGAGAAUCCUACCGACUGCUUCAUUUCAAGUGUGGUUGAUGUGAAGCGAAGAUUGCAUGCUAUAUUUUGGGAUGUGGCUGAAAAUUUUGUGCCACAGAUCAAGCACAUACGAGAGAAAAAAUUGUUACACCAUCAAGCACUUGAGCUUGUCAAACGCCUUUGCAUGGAAGUUGUAAAAUCAAAUAUCCUAAGAGCGCCCCAGAUAUUUGUGAUUCCUUUACACCAAGCAAUAUCUUUUGGGAUUCGAGAAAUCGUUGAAGAGAUUUUAAAGUCAGACCCUAAUACGAUUAAUCUUCGCACCAUGGAGGACCAAACCGUAUUCCAAUAUGCAAUUAUGUGCCGAAGUGAAAGUGUGUUCAACCUUAUAUAUCAACUUGAGGACUAUAGCCAUGCUCUUUUAUCAUCACGAGAUAUGUCUUCAAACAAUGCUCUGCAUUUGGCUGGAUUUUUGGGACCUAUGCAGCAACUCAAAGUCAGUGCAGCAGGUCCAGCUCUACAAGUGCAGCGGGAAUUACAGUGGUUUAAGAUGUUGGUCAUGAUUAUGCUAUCAGUACAGAAGAGGUUGAGAAUGAUGAUUACAGUUCCUGGGAAAGAUCAGAAGUUUACUUGGGCCCAGUUCAGUUGUCAAGUAAAAAAUCGAUGCUCGACUUCACUGAUCUUCAAGGCUUAGCUGGUUUCAUCGAUGGCACGGUUGAGGCAUUGCCUGAAGGGGUCCCCGUCUCAGAUAUUGGUGAUUAUUCUGCUAGUUGUAUAGAAGAGGUUGAUAAUCAGGAUUACAGGUCCUGGAAAAGAUCAGACAAUCUCAUAUGGGGAUGGAUCCUGAUUAUGCUCACCAAAUAUAUCCUCCAACAAGUUCUGCUUUUUAGAACUGCUAAAGUGGUGUGGACAAUGUUGGAGAAAAUGUUCCACUUGGCUAAAGCUUUUUCUCAACUUGUCAACCCUUUGCGCUUUGAAGUCAAGUUGCAAUGCCGCCUGUUCGUCCACCUGGCAUUAACGAAGCCGAACAAAUCCUUUAUGCCCAAAAGACAUUGAAAAGGAUCACCGCCAGACAUGAAACUAAUGUGGCCCUUUGAAUUUUAUUUUCCUGUUUGUGUUUUGUCAACCAACCAUGUGUCGACUGUCAUCUGAUCUGUAUGUGUUUGAUGGAUGAUAGACAAAGAAACAGAGACGAGGCUAAAAUGUUAUCAAUCACUACACGAGGAUGAAAUCAAAGGUGAUUGGGAGAACGCCCUCAAAUUUAUAAAACAAGAACCAGAUGCAAUUAGGGUUCCCAUCACGGUAUGGUCAGAAACAGCACUCCAUGCUGCUGUUAGGUGGGUGCGAAGAAACCGCAAAGAAGCUAGUGGAGAAUAUGGCACCAGAGGCUCUAGUUCUAGCUGACUUCUUUGGACAGACAGCCCUUCACAUAGCUGCUGGAGCGAACAACAUUGAGGCGGCCAAACUGUUAGUGGAGAAGAACCUGAAGCUAUCUAAUGUUCAGGACUUUGACGGAUAUAUACCUCUCCAUUAUGCUGCUGCACAUGGGAAUAGGGAGAUGGUUCUUUACUUAUCGGAUGUCAUCAGAGAAGAUGCAAAGCUCAAACCGUUGAUAAAUCAGGUGCUAAACGGUUACAUUUUCUAGCACAUUGUGGACUUUAUGACAUUGCUCUAACCUUGCUUCAGUGCAACCCAAAGUUGGCAUGCAUGGAAGAACUCUCUCCUUUGAUGGUAAUUGUUGAAAAUCGUUCUUCAUUUCGAAGUGGAACCCCCUUAAACUUCUGGCAGAACUUCAUCUAUACAUAUCUUGCAAUGAAAUUGGAAAACAUUACAAAGCACCAUAGUGGAGGAGACAUUGAGAAUCCUUCCAACUGCUUUAUUUUUGGUUUGACUUUUGUUAAGCGGUAUGCAAUGUUUUGGGAAGUCGUCGUAAAAAUUCAUAAGGAUUAGUGCCAAGCAUAUCUGAGAAAAGAAAUUGGUACACCAUCAAGCACUUGAGCUUGUCCAAUUCAUUCGCAUGGAAGUUACAAAAUCAAAAUUUUCACAAGCUGCUCGGAUAUUUACACCAGCGUUACUGAAAGCAACGUCUGUUGGGAUUCAUGAAAUUGUUGAAAAAAUUUAAAGUCAUGCCUUUCUGUGGUUGGUCUUACAAACCCGAAGAAGCAAAGCUUUUUCCAAUAUGCAAUUGUGUAUCAUCAUGAAAAUGUGUUCAACCUCAUAUAUCAACUUGAGGAGUUUGGUUGGUUACUUUUAUCAGUCCUAACUCAAUGGGAAACCAUGGUCUGCAUUGGGCUGGAUGGUCGGGACCUCAACAGCGACUUAGUCUCAGAGUGAGUGCAGUUGGUGCAGCACUACAGAUGCAGCGGGAAUUGCAGUGGUUUAAGGAGGUGGAAAAAAUUCUACUGCUAGAGACAAAGAAAUGAGGAACACUAGUGGAAUGACACCUGCAGAAGUAUUUACUGAUGCACAACGGGAGUUGGUAAAGGAAGGAGAGAGGUGGAUGAAAGACACUGCCACUUCAUGCACAAUUGUAGUUGCUCUCGUUGCCUCUGUGGUGUUUGCAGCUGCCAUUUCAGUACCGGUUGGAAACAACAUUAAUGGCCAUCCAAUUUUUUUUUUUCCAAACAGAGCCUUUGUAAACUUUGGGAUAUCAGAUGUAUUUGCUCUUUUCUCAUCUGUUACUUCUGUGUUGAUGUUCUUGUCCAUCCUUACUGCUCACACUAUGCAAAGCAAGAUUUUCUCUAUGCCUUACC